GUGAGCUUCCAAACCCUCCAAACUUCAUUCCCUAAUUUUUUAGAUUUUUCACUUUUUAAAAAACAAAAAAACCCCACAUUCACACAAUUCCUAGAUUUUCCAUUUAUAAAAAAAAAACAAAAAACAAACCCACAUUUAUUUGUCUCACACACAUCCAUAUCCACGUUCACCUGUGUCACACACUUCCAACCCCCACCCGCCUUUGUCUCAAUUUCGGUUGAAUAGCCCUAACACUAUCAAUCGCCACGACCCCACGCCUGCUUACACUGCUCUGGCAUCCAUCUCUCUCUCUCCACUCCUCAACCGCCACCACCCCACGCCUCUCUCCCACACCCACACCCACACCCUCACCCUCACCCUCACCCUCACCCCUCUCUCUCACUCACUCUCUCAUGGGCUAUGAAUACCCCUCUUCACUCCUCGCACAAUCUUUCACCAAGUUCCUUCGCUGCCAACCACCGCCCCACCCCCACUCUCUCCAUCUGAAGCUAUGUUCAGAGGUGAGGGGCGUCUUCCAGAGGCGAGGUUCAGAGACGAUGGGUCAAUUGUUAGAUCAUGAGCCUUCAGGGGUUUCUUCAAUUCAACCAAGUAAGUUGAUUUUCUCUUCACUGAGUUCAACAGAAACGAUAGAUUGGACCCCAAUUCCAUUUUCUCUUCAAUUUUUUUCCCCUAAAAUUGUUUAAAGUUUUGACAAUUGAAAGCAAUUCGAAUCUCACACCGCUCAGUUCUGCUAACCACUAGGUAUGAUUUCCUCUCUAUUGCUCUCUCUGAUGUCCUCUGUAUGGGGUGGUUUUUUGGCCAGCAUCGGUAUGGUGUUAAUUCAUGUAGAUGUAUUGUAUUUGGUCAUAAAUUUUUUAUUUCACGAAUUGAAAUUGAGUUGGGUAUUGAUGAGUUUUUACUUUGAGUACUAUCUAAGUUAUUCUGUCUCUAAAUGUUACUUUAGUCGUGUAGUUGACACAUGAAGUAGUUACCUCAUAAAUGUGUAUCUGUGCCUUACUUUAAUUAAUUGGAAUUUAUAUCCAAGGGUCAUAUGUCUAAUUUUGUGCCGUGAAAGAAAUGUAUAUUGAAUAUAUAAGCCAAUAAGUGAGAGAUAUACAAUAAUAUGGUGAUGAGAUAAGGUUAAUUGAUGGGACUACGUAUUCUAUCGGAUUUUGUGUUCCUUCACUAUUUGUCCCGUCAAAGCUACAACCCCAUAUAAUUUGAGGAUCAUUUAGGCCCCGACAUAUUGAAAUAGUGUUGGUUAUGAACUUAUGUUUGGUAUCGGUAUUUGUGAAUUUUAUUGCUGCCAUUAUUUUUGUUGGGGAAGGCUUAAUUAGUUUUCCUUUUUGUUGGUUGGUGUUAACAAAACAAUAGUGCAUCAUGUCAGCCCAUUAGUUACAAUGAAAACCAAUUUCUGAACAAGAGGGAUAAUCCUAUUUCCAACCUGACCAGUAUGGCAGUCCCAAACUCUCAUAGUAUUGUCCUUACCUUAUUCAUAGUUUCUGUUUUUGUAGGAAUAUAGAAUAGGAAUAAUCAAGUGGCCAUAGUCCAUUGUGCAUUUUCAAAUGGGGUUUUAGGUUUUUGUUUUUGGUUCUUUGUACCCU
This is a long non-coding RNA of Rhododendron vialii, 1583 nucleotides long. RefSeq lists it as uncharacterized. The transcript has 3 exons. The record is from RefSeq and is a predicted model, not a curated record. Lineage: Eukaryota; Viridiplantae; Streptophyta; Magnoliopsida; Ericales; Ericaceae.